CGCGAAGAACCUUACCUGGGCUUGACAUCCCUGGAAUUUGCUGGAAACAGUGAGGUGCCUGCAACCGCAGGAGCCAGGAGACAGGUGCUGCAUGGCUGUCGUCAGCUCGUGUCGUGAGAUGUUGGGUUAAGUCCCGCAACGAGCGCAACCCUCGCCUUUAGUUGCCAGCAUUGAGUUGGGCACUCUAAAGGGACUGCCGGUGUCAAACCGGAGGAAGGCGGGGAUGACGUCAAGUCCUCAUGGCCUUUAUGUCCAGGGCUACACACGUACUACAAUGGUCGGUACAAAGGGCAGCGAGUCAGCGAUGACAAGCAAAUCCCGAAAAGCCGGUCUCAGUUCGGAUUGGAGUCUGCAACUCGACUCCAUGAAGUUGGAAUCGCUAGUAAUCGUGGAUCAGAAUGCCACGGUGAAUACGUUCCCGGGCCUUGUACACACCGCCCGUCACACCACGAAAGUCGGUUGUUCCAGAAGCGGUUGCGCCAACCGUAAGGAGGCAGGCCGCCAAGGAAUGGCUGGUAAUUGGGGUGAAGUCGUAACAAGGUAGCCGUAGGGGAACCUGCGGCUGGAUCACCUCCUUU
RNAcentral lists this ribosomal RNA (578 nucleotides) under uncultured bacterium GR-Sh2-74. Its description in RNAcentral is "bacterial SSU rRNA". It matches the Rfam family "Bacterial small subunit ribosomal RNA", at positions 960 to 1533 of the family's 1533-position model. The record is from RNAcentral.